UAGGGAAUCUUCCACAAUGGACGCAAGUCUGAUGGAGCAACGCCGCGUGAGUGAAGAAGGUUUUCGGAUCGUAAAGCUCUGUUGUUGGUGAAGAAGGAUAGAGGCAGUAACUGGUCUUUAUUUGACGGUAAUCAACCAGAAAGUCACGGCUAACUACGUGCCAGCAGCCGCGGUAAUACGUAGGUGGCAAGCGUUGUCCGGAUUUAUUGGGCGUAAAGCGAGCGCAGGCGGAAUGAUAAGUCUGAUGUGAAAGCCCACGGCUCAACCGUGGAACUGCAUCGGAAACUGUCAUUCUUGAGUGCAGAAGAGGAGAGUGGAAUUCCAUGUGUAGCGGUGUAAUGCGUAGAUAUAUGGAAGAACACCAGUGGCGAAGGCGGCUCUCUGGUCUGCAACUGACGCUGAGGCUCGAAAGCAUGGGUAGCGAACAGG
RNAcentral lists this ribosomal RNA (429 nucleotides) under bacterium. RNAcentral's name for it is "partial 16S ribosomal RNA". It matches the Rfam family "Bacterial small subunit ribosomal RNA", at positions 355 to 776 of the family's 1533-position model. The record is from RNAcentral.